Molecule: long non-coding RNA, 1043 nt
Organism: Anolis carolinensis (green anole)
Lineage: Eukaryota; Metazoa; Chordata; Lepidosauria; Squamata; Anolidae
Exons: 2
Source: RefSeq, a predicted model, not a curated record
UUACCAUGUGGACAGUGGUCAGGUGGAUCAAGGAUAAUCCAGUAUCUACAUAUCAAAAAUACCUACUGUUGGUUUGCAAGCCAAAAACAUCUUCAUGGAAUCAUUGCAUACUGUGAGGUCACAAUGGGGGCCCCAACCAUGUCAUCAACAAGCAGAGAAGGUAAAGUGAUUUCUGGCUGACAAGAUGGUAGAAGUGGCAACUCCCUGGAGGAUAAGCACUGGUUCUGAUAUGCUGUUAACCUGACUGAUCAUCUGGACUUCUUUGCUGGUAUAUGUGCUGCUGCCAUGGUGCACCCACGGCAGCUGUGAAGUUCCAGUCUGCUCAAAGAUGAUCUAUCUUCUGCUGUGAGAUAGCAGCAAGCUGCAGCUAAAAUUCAACUUUGGACAGAAGCAACACUGAUUUACAUUCAAUACCAUUUCUGAGGUGUUCCAAAAUCUGAAAUUCCAAUGCAUCUGGUCCCAAAUGUUGUCUGAAACAGGAACUCCAAAUGAGAUGAGGUCCAAGCAUGAUCACAAGUUACCCUGCUCAACUGAAAAGUCCAAGGAAAAUGACCCACUCCCAUCUCUCCCAAAGUAGACUUCUUCCUUGAAACCUUAAGCCAAUCAAGUUGGAAAUGUCACGUAUUGUUCUAUAUUUCCCUUUGCCAGCAAUGCCAACAAGCAUCGUUUACCAAAUUAAUUUCAUCCUGUAACUGAUGUGCUCCCUGGGGGCAGAAAGGGACAGCACAGAUACAGGAGAUGGACUCCAGAAUAUUUCCAAAAAGAACUGUAUUAAGUUUCCUGCCAUACCAUGCACCAAUCACAAACUGUAAAUGAAUGCACUUUUAAAAAAAUCUACAUAUUAAUUAAAUGAAUGCACCUUUGAACCAAUAAGAUUGUGGAUUGUUAUUUACACCAAUCACAGCAAAUGUCAAUUCUUUCAAAUGACUGUAAAAUGUCUAUAGAAUGUCCAUGCUUGCAAGUGUGAUUUAUGUCAGAUUUUGAAGAAUUCUCCUGAUAUCUUGCCUUGGACAACAACUCAAUAAAACGGCUUCUGAUCCUGC